CAGUACUGAAGCCGAGUAUAUGGC
This 24-nucleotide non-coding RNA is filed under the name Drosophila melanogaster (fruit fly). The record is from RNAcentral. Lineage: Eukaryota; Metazoa; Arthropoda; Insecta; Diptera; Drosophilidae.